Long non-coding RNA from Saccoglossus kowalevskii, 1635 nucleotides. The record is from RefSeq and is a predicted model, not a curated record. Lineage: Eukaryota; Metazoa; Hemichordata; Enteropneusta; Harrimaniidae.
UUCAGCAGCAGGAGGAAGAAGAUGAAACAAAUGUCACGCAAGAUUCAAAUGAUUCUGUAAUUGAAGACAUCGUCACUACAUCACUGCUCAGUAUCGGUGACCAGGAGAAUAUAGAAAACAAGAGCGUGAUAGAAGAGACAAAGAGAAGUACUGGGAAGAUCCCAACACCGAUCAGAUCACGUCUGCCGAUGAGGAUGUCCAAUAAAAUAUAAGAUGUGUAAUAAACUGAUUCUUAGCCAGUGUAAAAAGCGUGACAUUUAGUACCAGCUAACUAUUCAUUUAGGGUUCGAAUCGGUGACUUUCAUUGAACGACUCUCAAAAAUCGAAAGAAAUUACAACAGCAAUCAUUUGGUAAGGUUUAUACUAUAAAAAAAAAAAAAAAAAACGCUGACAAAACAUUGGAGAAAAUAUGCAAUAUUGUUGCAGUGAACGUUUCACAAGGACAGCACAGUGACUUUCACAAAAUUCUUAAUUGUGAACACUGUUGAAUCAAUUUGCAUUGCCAAAAGUUUAACAGUAUAAUCUUUCCUUUGCCUACAGUGCUAGUUUUAAUCCACGUCAGUUGCAUGUCUUGGUGUAUGGCAACAUGCUUACUGUCUCAGUCUAAAAUCCAUCGUUUUUUUUUACUUCAAUAUUACGGUUAGGUCUGUAAAGAACUAUGAAUGUUUUACAUAAUUUUGCAUUUCAUUUAUUUUUUUGAACUCUUUACCAAGUAAAUUUUUGUAAUGAAUUUAAAUUUGCAUUUCAUUUAAUGUACUGUAAAAUCUGUAUUAGAAGCUGUGGCUUCUAUUAAAAUGGCACAAUGCAACAAAAGGGAUGCAGCUUCUAUUAGAGCAUCUACACAUGGAAAUGGUGAAUGUUUGCUUCUCAAUUGUUCAAAAAGAAUCUGUGAGACUUCUAUUAGAGAUGCGGCUUCUAAUACAGAUUUUAGGUACAUUAUUUAAUUACUGUACCCCAUAUUUAAAUUUUACGGUGACAACCUCCGAGAUUUUGUCAUUGGAUGUUGGUCUGAUUGUUGUAAAAUCAGAACAACUCAUUACCUACUUUGUUUCAAAAUGCUGUACCUGCGUACUUUUGUUUAUACUCCUGACAUAUUUACCUGUAGAAAUAAUUUAACUAUGUCUUGAGCUGUAGAAAUAUUGUAAAUAUGUCUAGGUUGUGGUCAUCGUGCCGCGUCCUGUUCUUACAUGAAAUUUGAACACGCACUGAGCAACAACUACCACCCAUAAAUCUAAAAGUUAAUGUUGCCAGUAAUCAACAAUAUCUUGAAACAAAGUAGGUAAUCAGUUGUUAUUUUUACAACAAUCAGAGCAAUUCUAAUUACAGAAAUCUUUGUUUUCAAUUUAAACUUGACCUUCUGUAAAGUUCAAUGACACAUUUUAUCGUUUAGAUACUUUAUUGACACGUAUAUUUAUUUUCAAUGAUGAAUAAUAAAUGUUUAAUGAUAGUACAGAUAAUAAAACUAUAAAUAUGCAUGUUUUUUUUAACAGUUGUUUUUUUCUCUAAAUAAUGUAAAUGUUGCUGUGUAUUGUCUCCAAUAUACUUAUUCAGAAUAAUAUUAAUUUUUAGAUUUUAUGUCUGUACCAGUUACCCACAAUGCCAAUGCCUUUUAAGAUAUUAAAUUUGUUUUAAAAU